Molecule: unclassified non-coding RNA, 391 nt
Filed under: soil metagenome
Description: partial contains 5.8S ribosomal RNA, internal transcribed spacer 2, and large subunit ribosomal RNA
Rfam family: 5.8S ribosomal RNA (bases 1-122)
Source: RNAcentral
GAUGAAGAACGUAGCGAAAUGCGAUACUUGGUGUGAAUUGCAGAAUCCCGUGAACCAUCGAGUCUUUGAACGCAAGUUGCGCCCGAAGCCAUUAGGCCGAGGGCACGCCUGCCUGGGCGUCACACGUCGUUGCCCCCCCAUCCACUCCUUCGGGAUUGCGGGGGGCGGAUGAUGGCCUCCCGUGCGCCUCGCCGCGCGGUUGGCAUAAAUGCCAAGUCCUCGGCGACGCACGCCACGACAAUCGGUGGUUGCGAAACCUCGGUUGCCCGUCGUGUGCGGUCGUCGCGCAUCGAGGGCUCGAAAAAAUUGCCGGGUUCCGGCUCGGCUUUCAACGCGACCCCAGGUCAGGCGGGGUUACCCGCUGAAUUUAAGCAUAUCAAUAAGCGGAGGA